Molecule: long non-coding RNA, 475 nt
Organism: Dermacentor silvarum
Lineage: Eukaryota; Metazoa; Arthropoda; Arachnida; Ixodida; Ixodidae
Exons: 3
Source: RefSeq, a predicted model, not a curated record
UUUCUGAUUAACCAGGAUACUGCUGGCAGUGAGAGGUAUGAGGCCAUGAGUCGAAUCUACUAUCGGGGGGCUGGUGCUGCUAUUGUGUGCUUUGACCUCACUGACCGGGAAAGCUACCAGAAGGCAAAGUUCUGGGUGAAUGAGCUGCGCAAGCAUGAAGAGAAGUGCCAAAUUUUUCUUUGUGGCACAAAAAAUGAUUUAAUCAAGAAGAAGGAAAGUACAGGGCAAUAAAUCACCAUGAUGUGCUGGAUUAUGCUGAUGAAAUUGGGGCCAAAAUGUUUGAAACCUCUAGCAAGACAGGAGAAGGCAUUGAUUCAUGAUGUGGCACCACCUCCUCCCCAUUGGCUGUGCCGCGCUGUCACGUGCCCAUUGACGCACACACUAGGCCACACCUUUAGUCAGCCGCAUGGCUGCGACGUGACGUGUGCAAUGACGCACGCACUAGGCACACCUUUAGUCGACUAGAACCAUGGUG